GAUGAACGCUGGCGGCGUGCCUAAUACAUGCAAGUCGAGCGAACGGACGAGAAGCUUGCUUCUCUGAUGUUAGCGGCGGACGGGUGAGUAACACGUGGAUAACCUACCUAUAAGACUGGGAUAACUUCGGGAAACCGGAGCUAAUACCGGCUAAUAUUUUGAACCGCAUGGUUCAAAAGUGAAAGACGGUCUUGCUGUCACUUAUAGAUGGAUCCGCGCUGCAUUAGCUAGUUGGUAAGGUAACGGCUUACCAAGGCAACGAUGCAUAGCCGACCUGAGAGGAUGAUCGGCCACACUGGAACUGAGACACGGUCCAGACUCCUACGGGAGGCAGCAGUAGGGAAUCUUCCGCAAUGGGCGAAAGCCUGACGGAGCAACGCCGCGUGAGUGAUGAAGGUCUUCGGAUCGUAAAACUCUGUUAUUAGGGAAGAACAUAUGUGUAAGUAACUGUGCACAUCUUGACGGUACCUAAUCAGAAAGCCACGGCUAACUUCGUG
Molecule: ribosomal RNA, 497 nt
Filed under: uncultured bacterium
Lineage: Bacteria
Description: partial 16S ribosomal RNA
Rfam family: Bacterial small subunit ribosomal RNA
Source: RNAcentral